AGAGGUCUCGAGCGUUAGUCGGAGUCACUGGGCUUAAAGCGUACGUAGGCGGAUCUGCAGGCGUCGUGUGAAAUCCCUCAGCUCAACUGAGGAACUGCACGGCGAACCGCAGGUCUUGAGACAAGUAGGGGCGGUCGGAACGAUAGGUGGAGUGGUGAAAUGCGUUGAUAUCUAUCGGAAUGCCGAAGGAGAAAUCAGGCCGCUGGGCUUGUUCUGACGCUGAGGUACGAAAGCGUGGGUAGCGAACGGGAUUAGAUACCCCGGUAGUCCACGCCGUAAACGAUGUGCCAUUAGAUCGCGGAGGUUUUGACACCGCUCGCGGUCGAAGUAAAAACGUUGAGUGCACCGCCUGGGGAGUACGGUCGCAAGGCUA
This 373-nucleotide ribosomal RNA is filed under the name uncultured bacterium. Its description in RNAcentral is "bacterial SSU rRNA". It matches the Rfam family "Bacterial small subunit ribosomal RNA", at positions 527 to 896 of the family's 1533-position model. The record is from RNAcentral.